RNAcentral lists this long non-coding RNA (1358 nucleotides) under Monodelphis domestica (gray short-tailed opossum). RNAcentral describes it as "lncRNA (ENSMODG00000042695.1)". Lineage: Eukaryota; Metazoa; Chordata; Mammalia; Didelphimorphia; Didelphidae. The record is from RNAcentral.
AAAAAGCCUGGGCGUGGCCUAUUGGGAAGCAUCUCUGACAUCAAAGGCCUCAGUUUGAAUAUUGACUCAGCUACCCUAUCCCACAGGCUCUGAUACCCUCCUGUACCUCUCAGGGGCCCUGCUACCCUCCUGUACCUCUCAGGGGCCCUGCUACCCUCCAGCACCUCUCAGGGACCCUGCUACCCUCCAGCACCUCUCAGAGGCUCUGCUACCCACCAGCAACUCUCAGGGACCCUGCUACCCUCCAGCACCUCUCAGGGACCCUGCUACCCUCCAGCACCUCUCAGAGGCUCUGCUACCCACCAGCAACUCUCAGAGGCUCUGCUACCCUCCAGCACCUUUGGGGGGCUCUGCUACCCACCAGCACCUCUCAGAGGCUCUGCUACCUUCCAACACCUCUCAGGGGCUCUGCUACCCAUCAGCACCUCUCAGGGUUCUGCCACCCCUUCCCCUGCUACCCUCUGGCACCUUUCAGGGACCCUGCUACCCUCCAGCACCUCUCAGGGGCCCUGCUACCCUCCAUCACUUCUCAGGGACCCUGCUACUUUCCAGCACUUCUCAGGGACCCUGCUACCCUCCUGCACCUCUCAGGGACCCUGCUACCCUCCAGCACCUCUCAGGGACCCUGCUACCCUCCAGCACCUCUCAGGGACCCUGCUACCCUCCAGCACUUCUCAGGGACCCUGCUACCCUCCAGCACCUCUCAGGGACCCUGCUACCCUCCAGCACCUCUCAGAGGCUCUGCUACCCUCCAGCACCUCUCAGAGGCUCUGCUACCCUCCAGCACUUUUGGGGGGCUCUGCUACCCACCAGCACCUCUCAGAGGCUCUGCUACCCUCCAGCACCUCUCAGGGGCUCUGCUACCCAUCAGCACCUCUCAGGGUUCUGCCACCCCUUCCCCUGCUACCCUCCAGCACCUUUCAGGGACCCUGCUACCCUCUAGCACCUCUCAGAGGCCCUGCUACCCUCCAUCACUUCUCAGGGACCCUGCUACCCUCCAGCACCUCUCAGGGGCCCUGCUACCCUCCAACACCUCUCAGAGGCUCUGCUACCCUCCAGCACCUUUGGGGGGGGGGCUCUGCUACCCACCAGCACCUCUCAGGGGCUCUGCUACCCUCCAGUACCUUUUGGGGGCUCUGCUACCCACCAGCACCUCUCAGGGGCUCUGCUACCCAUCAGCACCUCUCAGAGGCUCUGCUACCCAUCAGCACCUCUCAGGGGCUCUGCAGCCUGCCAGCACUUCUCUCUCUCUGGGCUCUGUUUCCUCACUUGUAAAUUAGGGCAUUGGACUUAUAUGAUCUCUGAGGUCUCUUCCACAUCUAAAAUCUGUGAUCUAAAUCCAGACAGAAACAAAUCCU